CCUACGGGAGGCAGCAGUGAGGAAUAUUGGUCAAUGGCCGUAAGGCUGAACCAGCCAAGUCGCGUGAAGGAAGAAGGAUCUAUGGUUUGUAAACUUCUUUUAUAGGGGAAUAAAGGUAUCCACGUGUGGAUAUUUGCAUGUACCCUAUGAAUAAGCAUCGGCUAACUCCGUGCCAGCAGCCGCGGUAAUACGGAGGAUGCGAGCGUUAUCCGGAUUUAUUGGGUUUAAAGGGUGCGUAGGUUGUUUUUUAAGUCAGCGGGGAAAGUUUGUGGCUCAACCAUAAAAUUGCAGUUGAAACUGGAAGACUUGAGUGUGUUUGAGGUAGGCGGAAUGCGUGGUGUAGCGGUGAAAUGCAUAGAUAUCACGCAGAACUCCGAUUGCGAAGGCAGCUUACUAAGCCAUAACUGACACUGAAGCACGAAAGCGUGGGGAUCAAACAGGAUUAGAUACCCCGGUAGUC
This 460-nucleotide ribosomal RNA is filed under the name uncultured bacterium. RNAcentral describes it as "partial 16S ribosomal RNA". It matches the Rfam family "Bacterial small subunit ribosomal RNA", at positions 338 to 795 of the family's 1533-position model. The record is from RNAcentral.